GAUGAAGAACGCAGCGAAAUGCGAUAAGUAAUGUGAAUUGCAGAAUUCAGUGAAUCAUCGAAUCUUUGAACGCACCUUGCGCUCCUUGGUAUUCCGAGGAGCAUGCCUGUUUGAGUGUCAUUAAUAUAUCAACCUCUUCAGCUUAUGCUUGUUGAGUGUUGGAUGGUGGGGGUUUGCUGGUGUCUUAUGAAGUCAGCUCCUCUGAAAUGCAUUAGCGGAACAAUUUGUUGACCGUUCAUUGGUGUGAUAAAAAUAUCUACGCUAUUGACGUCAGUCAGUUCAGCUUCUAACAGUCCAUUGACUUGGACAAAUUAUUCAUUAAUGUGACCUCAAAUCAGGUAGGACUACCCGCUGAACUUAAGCAUAUCAAUAAGCGGAGGA
RNAcentral lists this unclassified non-coding RNA (381 nucleotides) under soil metagenome. Its description in RNAcentral is "partial contains 5.8S ribosomal RNA, internal transcribed spacer 2, and large subunit ribosomal RNA". The stretch from base 1 to 120 matches the Rfam family "5.8S ribosomal RNA", at positions 35 to 154 of the family's 154-position model. The record is from RNAcentral.